UACGGAGGGAGCUAGCGUUGUUCGGAAUUACUGGGCGUAAAGCGCACGUAGGCGGCGCGGUAAGUCGGGUGUGAAAUCUCGGGGCUUAACUCCGAAACUGCAUUCGAUACUACCGUGCUUGAGGACUGGAGAGGAGACUGGAAUUUACGGUGUAGCGGUGAAAUGCGUAGAUAUCGUAAGGAAGACCAGUGGCGAAGGCGGGUCUCUGGACAGUUCCUGACGCUGAGGCACGAAGGCCAGGGGAGCAAACGGG
This 253-nucleotide ribosomal RNA is filed under the name uncultured bacterium. Its description in RNAcentral is "partial 16S ribosomal RNA". It matches the Rfam family "Bacterial small subunit ribosomal RNA", at positions 524 to 776 of the family's 1533-position model. The record is from RNAcentral.